AUGGCCAUCCUCCAAAUCAGGGACGAGAUCGAGCUUAUUGGAGAAGCUGGAGUCAGAUCCGCCUCCCGCACCUUCUCUCCACCACGGAGAGCAGCCGGACAACAGAUUUUGCUAUCGCUAUGUGGUUGGCUUCCAGUAUGGUUCUGCUGUGCGCUCUUCAAUAUUGUUCAUCAUGAAGAUGAGCACUAUCUUGAUAUGAUCAGGAAUCAUGCUUCGGGAUGUCUUCCGGAGAUGAGGAAAGACGCACACAUGAAGCCAACGGACAGCCAGAUCAGGAAGGCGUGGAGCUUGAGCUGCAGCGAUGAUGACAACUGGGGCGUCAGCUGCAAAAACAACAGCUCAAGUGUUCAACCAAGUUGGUUGAACGCUCUUGUAGCUUUGGUUGAGAUCCUAAAGCUAUAUGAAGCACCAUGGAUUGAGUUUGCAAGCAAAAGGAUCACACAACCUGACAGUACUGGUAGCAGUCUUUUUCUUCCAAACUGUAGCAUUGAUGCCUAUAAAUUUGCAGGUACUGAGUUGUGUGCUGUUUUUCAACUCAAUGCUGCUCCUAAUGGUUUUGUGACUGUUGAAAGGCAGUAUACACCUCAUAGCCAGCUUUAG
RNAcentral lists this ribosomal RNA (600 nucleotides) under Triticum aestivum (bread wheat). RNAcentral's name for it is "partial small subunit ribosomal RNA". The record is from RNAcentral. Lineage: Eukaryota; Viridiplantae; Streptophyta; Magnoliopsida; Poales; Poaceae.